Non-coding RNA from Triticum urartu, 2456 nucleotides. The record is from RefSeq and is a predicted model, not a curated record. NCBI's taxonomy places the organism in Eukaryota, Viridiplantae, Streptophyta, Magnoliopsida, Poales, Poaceae.
UUUCAAUGGUUUGUCAAAAUCUUGGGUAUUCAACCGAAUAGCCAAGAAGACCAGAUCCAUGGAUCAGAAUCGCCGCUCCCCAUCUGAUCCGUGGAUCGAAAAGUUCGCUUUCCGUCUCGUGGGCACUGUGACGAAUUGAAUGCAGGGAUGAGUGUCUUCUCCCCCAAGGGUCAUUUGGUUGCUGAGGAGUGCGGGAUAGAGGUCUGGACCGCCGGCGGCGAGGCACCAUGGACAUGGAGUUUCUGAUGCAGAUCGGCUGGUGGGGGAGAGUUUGGUCCCCGCCCCUGUGCGUGCGAAAGGCCAAGUUGUGGCAGGGCCAAUGGUGCCGCAGCAGCACGCGGCGGCAGACAGCGGCGAAGCGCAGGGAAGGGAGAGGUCACCGCCGACAUCGGAGCUGUCAACGGGGAGGAUGAAUCCUCGGGCGCCCGGAUGGAACCAUAGCAGCAAGGUAAAUGUAGGUAGACACGACGCACCUGGAAAGCCAGCGAUGGCUGGUCCGGCAAGAACGAUCGCCAUCGCAAGGAGCGAGGUGUUCGGCACGGUCCAACGGUUCCCUGCUGCGCGGAUCUAGAGCGUGCUGCAUAUUCAGUAGUAUUUUCCUUCUUCCUUAUUUCCAAUGUGCACACUACUUGUCCUCUCAAACUAUGUGUAAAUUCGACUAAGUGUGCUUAUUUCCUUGUUGCUUACCAUGUUAAAUGGCAAAAGCACAUUGGAGCCUCCUCACGGUGCAUGUUGAGUAGUAUUUUCCUUCUUGCUUAUUUCCAAUGUGCACAAUACUCAUCCUCUCAAACUAUGUGUAAAUCCGACUAAGUUUGCUUAUUUCCUUCUUGCUUAUACCGUGUUAAAUGGCAAAAGCACAUUGGAGCCUCCUCACGGUUAAUCAUCAACUGAACUAACAUGUCUUUUUUCCUCCAGUUCGUUGUUUGUUUUCUAUCCAUUGUUGAUAGCACCAAACUUGUUACUGAGGUUAUAAUUGAAGAGCUGAUAAAGCAGUUAAAGGAACUCAUAUUUGACAAGGUAAAAGGAAUUCCAAGCUUCUGAUGUGCUUAUUUUUAAUUGUUAGUUAUAUUCACAUGAGACUAUUUAUGUUGGAGCUCCUUGCUGGAACAGAACGGGAGACACCCAUUGCUGCAGAUAUUUCACCCACAUGGCUCACAUUAUCUGACUCCGACUGGUUUGAUUUAUCGGAAUUACAACGUGCCUUACCUUAUUUGAAAGGCAAAUUACCUAUUCUAUAAACUCUUAAGUACUUUGAAGAGAAACAGGCCCCCAGAAAAUUGCUUUUUUUUGUUUCAGGAUGAGGCAUCAGUUAACUUGGAUAAUGUAGCUGACAAAGAACAUGAGGGUUCAUAAGACACACAGGUUGCAUGUGAUAGCAUGAAGGACCCGAUUAAAUGGCGGCAAGAACUGUUGGUGAAAAGAGCGUUUUCUGAGGUACUCAGUGAGACUUGCAUUGAAAAUGUUGGAGAGUCAGUUCGAACAAACUUUGGUGAAGAUGUAUUAUAUGAAGUGAUCUCCUUAGUCCAUGGUCUACGCUUCUACCUGUACCUCUAUAACCGGUAUCUCGGGAUAAUAUUCAUUCAUAUAUGAAAUUUCUUUGCGGAAGGAACUACUGUGAUAAAUAUGCUUAUACUUGCUUGACCUUCUGAUAAACUGUUAGUUUAACCUCUGUUUUCCUGAUUGUUAUUCGACAAUCUGGAAAUAUUCUUAUAAGUUGAUGGAACCUUUUUCUCUGGGAUGUUCCUUAGGCCCAUGUGCAGUAUUAAUGUUAUUCACUUUUCCUUGGUGAUGAAUUAACCUCCUGUAAAAGAAAAUGACACUCGAGUCUACACACAAACGUACCUACUGUUUUCUUAAUCUGACUCUUGAUACAAAUGAGUAAUCAACUGUUAAAGGGCGUCAUGAUUGAACACAUUUUCACUUUGUAAGAGGUAGUGCUGAUAUGCUUACUAAGAUUAUGCAUCUCCAUUUUCCAAGAUUUCUAUUGGUGCACAAGGUAAUGUUUUGGGGGGCUUCACUGACAGGAUCCACGUACUUCAGGACUGUGUGGGCAGUUCCCAUGUCUUUGCAAUUUUUUUCACCUUUUCAUGAUUUAGAAUUUAAUUUGGUUCAGAAAGCAUGGCUGAAAUGCAGCCUAUUAACACUAGAGGGUCAUGGUAUAAGUCAAGGACUACUUCGAUUGUGAGCCCACGAUGAUGAGCUGAUCAAGCAGGUGAUGAUGACGGCGAGGGUCUGCUUAGUGGGGGCAGCGGAUGGGCGCUGGCCGUAAUAAGAGUUGUCUGUAAAGCAUUUGCCAUGCCAUCAGGCUGUAUCUUCAUAUUUCUUCUUUCCUGCACUAUAAAUACAAAUGUAUGAGUAGAUCUGAACUUGUAAUUUCUCUGUUGCAACACAUGCCUAAGCUUCCUACAAAUGAUCAUGUACAAAACACAGACCAAACAACUCAAUGUACAGUGCCU